This 468-nucleotide ribosomal RNA is filed under the name uncultured bacterium. RNAcentral describes it as "partial 16S ribosomal RNA". It matches the Rfam family "Bacterial small subunit ribosomal RNA", at positions 28 to 507 of the family's 1533-position model. The record is from RNAcentral.
GACGAACGCUGGCGGCGUGCUUAACACAUGCAAGUCGAACGGAAAGGCCCUGCUUUUGUGGGGUGCUCGAGUGGCGAACGGGUGAGUAACACGUGAGUAACCUGCCCUUGACUUUGGGAUAACUUCAGGAAACUGGGGCUAAUACCGGAUAGGAGCUCCUGCUGCAUGGUGGGGGUUGGAAAGUUUCGGCGGUUGGGGAUGGACUCGCGGCUUAUCAGCUUGUUGGUGGGGUAGUGGCUUACCAAGGCUUUGACGGGUAGCCGGCCUGAGAGGGUGACCGGCCACAUUGGGACUGAGAUACGGCCCAGACUCCUACGGGAGGCAGCAGUGAGAAAUAUUGCACAAUGGGCGGAAGCCUGAUGCAGCAACGCCGCGUGCGGGAUGACGGCCUUCGGGUUGUAAACCGCUUUCGCCUGUGACGAAGCGUGAGUGACGGUAAUGGGUAAAGAAGCACCGGCUAACUACGUG